UACGGGGGGGGGCAAGCGUUGUUCGGAAUUACUGGGCGUAAAGGGCUCGUAGGCGGCCAACUAAGUCCGACGUGAAAUCCCCAGGCUUAACCUGGGAACUGCGUCGGAUACUGGAUGGCUUGAAUUCGGGAGAGGGAUGCAGAAUUCCAGGUGUAGCGGUGAAAUGCGUAGAUAUCUGGAGGAAUACCGGUGGCGAAGGCGGCAUCCUGGACCGACAUUGACGCUGAGGAGCGAAAGCUAGGGGAGCAAACGGGG
This 255-nucleotide ribosomal RNA is filed under the name uncultured bacterium. RNAcentral's name for it is "partial 16S ribosomal RNA". It matches the Rfam family "Bacterial small subunit ribosomal RNA", at positions 524 to 777 of the family's 1533-position model. The record is from RNAcentral.